GAUUGUAAAUUUAGUGGCGGACGGGUGAGUAACGCGUGGGUAACCUGCCUUGUACUGGGGGACAACAGUUGGAAACGACUGCUAAUACCGCAUAAGCGCACAGCUUCGCAUGAAGCAGUGUGAAAAACUCCGGUGGUACAAGAUGGACCCGCGUCUGAUUAGCUGGUUGGUGAGGUAACGGCCCACCAAGGCGACGAUCAGUAGCCGGCCUGAGAGGGUGAACGGCCACAUUGGAACUGAGACACGGUCCAAACUCCUACGGGAGGCAGCAGUGGGGAAUAUUGCACAAUGGGGGAAACCCUGAUGCAGCAACGCCGCGUGAGUGAAGAAGUAUUUCGGUAUGUAAAGCUCUAUCAGCAGGGAAGAUAAUGACGGUACCUGACUAAGAAGCUCCGGCUAAAUACGUGCCAGCAGCCGCGGUAAUACGUAUGGAGCAAGCGUUAUCCGGAUUUACUGGGUGUAAAGGGUGCGUAGGUGGCAGUGCAAGUCAGAUGUGAAAGGCCGGGGCUCAACCCCGGAGCUGCAUUUGAAACUGCUCGGCUAGAGUACAGGAGAGGCAGGCGGAAUUCCUAGUGUAGCGGUGAAAUGCGUAGAUAUUAGGAGGAACACCAGUGGCGAAGGCGGCCUGCUGGACUGUUACUGA
RNAcentral lists this ribosomal RNA (643 nucleotides) under uncultured Lachnospiraceae bacterium. RNAcentral's name for it is "bacterial SSU rRNA". It matches the Rfam family "Bacterial small subunit ribosomal RNA", at positions 82 to 743 of the family's 1533-position model. The record is from RNAcentral. Lineage: Bacteria; Bacillati; Bacillota; Clostridia; Lachnospirales; Lachnospiraceae.